ACACACUGUUUGUUUAUUUCCCUCUGGGAACAAGCUGGGAAACUGUUAGUGUUGAGGAAAAUAAUAAUAAUUAAAAAAAAGUCUUAAGUGUUGACUCCACAAUUUCAGAGCUUGAUAAGUCCUUCUGAGUAUAGCAUGCCAUCACUUUUCUCAGCAGGGUAUAAUUACUCAUAACUUGAAGGUUUUAUCUCUGGGUUGCCUCUAAUAAAAUGGGGGCAAAAAUAAGGUAAAGCUGUUACUCACUGGAAGUGUAAAUGUUUAAUUAACUAUCACAUAUAAUUGUUUCAGUCUCUUGUGUGACAUUUGCACAGUCCAGGAAUUUGGGGUUGGGGGUAGGGAGAUCAUCUAGCAAAUUUAUGAAGAUUUAUAAAGUAGGGCUUACUUAAUGUAGCACACGCAUGUGUGCGCAUGCGUGUGUGUUUCAACUAUUGCACCUGAGGCUUUGUUUGGUUUUUAAUCUCACCUUACUUGGUACUAAUUUUCUCUAGGAACCCUUCAAAGUAUUUUUAAACUAUGAAAUAAUUAUUUCAUCCUUUGUUCAUCUUACAUUCCUUCCCUUGUAUAGGCAAAUGUCUCUUGUAUUUAGCAUUUACAUGUGGUGUAUCUGAUGUUACCUCGCAGGACCGAAAGUAGAGGAGGCAAACUGAAUUCUGCAUUGAUAAUCAGGAAUGCGUGUGUCACGGCUUCUUCCAAAAUAAUAUAGGCCAUUUAAAAACCUAUUUCAAAAUGCCUCUAAGGAGCCACCCUAUUUGUUCCUUCUAUCCUGGACCCAGACAACUUUAGAAGUUUCUAGGCAUUAUGGUUACAGGGCUAAGACCCUAUGACUCUCCAUCUGUGGUGGAGACUUUUUCUGGAAUAGAGACGGUUCUGGAGGUCUGAGAAGUAGGUGUUUUCUCUGGAUCUGUGGCAAGGCCCAGACAGAAUAUAUCCCGAAUGUAACCCAUACUGGGGAAAGCCUAAUUUGUAGUGUUGGCUAAUUUCCAUGGUUUAUAAUGCUGUCAUCAUAGCCAUAAGAGGCUCUUCUCUCUCUAUUCAGCAUUUCUUCAUGAUCAUCAAAUGUCAACAUCAUUUUUACCUCAGAAAUGUUGCUAUUGUUCCUCCUUAUAGCAGGAAAAUUCUUCCUUCAUACAAUUGUCUACCCUCUCUACCUUAGUCCCUUCAGGGCUCCACUUAGUCCCCCCACUCCUCAGAGAGGGCUUCAUUGACCACUCAUUAAUUNUUUUUUUUUUUUGCUUUUUUAGGGCUGCAUCUUCGACAUAUGGAGAUUCCCAGGCUAGGGGUUGAAUCAGAGCUGUAGCUGUUGGCAUACACCACAGCCAUAGCAACGCAGGAUCCAAGUCACAUCUGCAACCUACAUCACAGCUCACAGCAGUGUGCAUCCUUAACCCACUGAGCAAGGCCAGGGAUCAAACCUGCAUCCUCAUGGAUGCUAGUCAGAUUUGUUAACUUCUGAGCCAUGACAGGAACUCCCACACAUUAAUUUUUAUCAAAACUUUCCUUAAAAAAGACACAUGCACCCUCAUGUUCACCGUAGCACUAUUCACUAUAGCCAAGACAUGAAACAACCCAAAUGUCCAUUAACAGACAAUUGAAUUAUGAAAAUGUGGUAUAUAUACACAAUGGAAUACUACUCAGCCAUAACAAAGAAUAAAAUAAUGCCAUUUGCAGCAACAUGGAUGGAACUAGAGACACUCAUACUGAGUGAAGUUAAGUCAGAAAGAAAAAGACAAAUACCAUGUGAUAUCACUUAUAUCUGGAAUCUAAUAUAUGGCACAAAUGAACCUUUCCACAGAAAAGAAAAUCAUGAACUUGGAGAAUAGACUUGUGAUUCCCCUGGGAGGAGGGGGAUGGAUUGGGAGCUUGGGGUUAACAGAUGCAAACUAUUGCUUUUGGAAUGGACUAACAAUGAGAUCCUGCUGUGUAGCACUGAGCACUGUGUCUAGAUACUUACAACACAGCAUGACAAUGUGAGAAAAAAGAAUGUAUACGUAUAUGUGUAACUGGGUCCCCAUGCUACAGUGGAGGAAAAAAAAGUGUGUUGGUAGAAAUAACAAUAAAAAAUAAAUUUAAAAAAUUUUUAUCUACUUUUUCUUUUUCUUUUUUUUUUUUGUCUUUUUGCCAUUUCUUGGGCUGCUUCCACGCAUAUGGAGGUUCCCAGACUAGGGGUCUAAUCAGAGCUGUAGCUGCCAGCCUACACCAGAGCCACAGCAACGCGGGAUCCGAGCCUCUUCUGCGACCUACACCACAGUUCACGGCAAUGCCGGAUCCUUAACCCACUGAGCAAGGGCAGGGACCGAACCCGCAACCUCAUGGUUCCUAGUCGGAUUCAUUAACCACUGCGCCACGACGGGAACUCCUAUCUACUUUUUCUUCAAUGGACUUAUCAUGACUUGGAACUGUAUGUUGAUUUAUUUAUUAUUGGUGUCCUCCACUAGAAUAUAAACUAAGAAAUUAAUUGAUUUUCUUCAUUAUUAUAUCUCCAGUGCCUUGAAGAAAGCUGACAUGUAGUAGAUAUUCAGAAAUAAUUUUUGAAUUAUUAAAUAAACUGUGAUUUAAUCAAUAGUCAUGAGAUGAAGACUGCAAACACUUUGUACAAUUUUGGAAUAUUUUUAAUUUUAAUAGGAAUGGUUCAUUCUACUUGCCUUCCCAUUCUGCUUUCAUCUUUCUACCAUAGCCUCUGUUGACUGUAUGUGAGAACUGGGAACCUCUUGGAGAAAGGCACUCUCUCUUUGAAUUCCUCAUGCCUGGAAUAGAGUAGAAGCUCAAUAAAUAAAUACAGAUCGAGAGCAUUAACUCACCAUAUAUUCUCUUUUUCUCGUUAACUGUUUCAGGGAUGAUUAGCGAUAAAUUUGUAGGUUAGAGAAAAAGGGGUCUGUGCGCAUCUGUCAGUGCCGGCAAGAACUCGAGAGGUGAAAAAGAGUGUGUUUUGUUCCACAAACAGGCUGGAGGGAGAAUAGAAGAAAGUCAUGGGAUGAAGUAAAUUUUGGCAGCUGCCAAUGAGAAACAGCUAAAAGUCCCUGGAGUCUUGGGGUAAAGAAGAAGCAGCCCUGGGGAUGAACAGAUUAAUGGCUCCCAUGGAAACAUGUGGAUGCGAGGCAUUCCUAAAUAUAAGAUGUCAUAUUAAACCUCUAAUCAAUUGACCCUCCUGUGAUAAUCUCAAAGUUAACUAUUUCUGGGGAACCUGACAGAAGGCUUCACUGAGGCAAUGGGUUUUCUACAUCUGCUUUUCCUCUAAUGGAGCUAGAUCACUAAAUGAGGCUAAGAACUCCCUUAAUAAGGAUCCCAGACAGGGAAGGCAUUUACAGGCAUGUAGAUAUGUUGUUUGAUGUCAGCAAGGAAUUCUAACACACCUAUAAAGAGUCUACUGUUUUCAUGUUUUAGGACAAGUUGCAUAGAAAGAUGUGUACGAAAGUAAGAGUUUGAUUCUGUAACCAUGUAAGGAAAAGUCCAGGUGUGAUGUACCUUUGGUGUAUGUGAGUAGGUAUUGAGGGGAAGCUAUGUAUGAGGAAAAGAAGGAUGCUGAAUGAGUCAGAGGGAAGUCUCAUAACUCGAUAACUUACAGUGUAAUAGCCAUGGAGGAAGAUAUUUACCUUAAGAAGGAAAGGGAUAGGGAAAAUGCAAAGGUUUCAUGUUCUGCUGAGUCUUUGAUACUUUGAAAAAUGUACUGCUGACAUUUUGAGGCAAUAGGAAGAUCCCAGCAAUUGAGAAAGAAGAGUGGAGGUAGGGACCAGACAAAGAAGGAAGGGAAAGCUGCUUUAUUUCCCCCUGAUAAUUAGAGGAAGUUAGUACAAAAAAGCUCUUUAAACGUUCUGAAAUAUAAUCUCUUCAUUUUACUUCAUCUUUCUGGGUUAGGGUUUCUAUCUGUAAUGUACUUAAAGCUAUAGUGGAUAUUGGCAUUUAGGGCUUGAAUCCAGGAGGUCUUGGGUUUUUCAGCUAAACUAAUGUGGUACAAUCCACAUACCAGGACAAUAUGGAGAAAUUGUGACACAGGCCAAGGAGUUGAUGGAGAGCUAGAAGAUAGAGGAUUGAAGACAUUUAGAAAAACUAUGAAAACCAGAAAGAUCAGGGUAAGGACAUGCUACACUAGCUCACCCUCUGUUGUGUCUUUUAUUGUGCUAGGAAAGAUGGUCAUUGUUACUUAUAAAAAUCUCCUCCCCCAAAGUUGCUCUUCUUCCCCUCCCCCAAUCCCAGGAAGACUUUCAUGGAAAAUAGAACCUUUCUGUUAUGCUUACCCAGCUCUGUUCAGAGCCACAGGAUUGAAUACACUCAGAGGCAUAUCCAGCUAAUGCAAACCCUGCUAGCCAAAUAGUUUUUCCAGGCUGAGGGAUGAAGUCAGAUAUGAAGGAAAAGAGUAUAGGAAUAGAAAUGAUAAUUGAGGUCUUCUGAGAGUUAAGAGAGAGAUUAUUCAGUAUAGGAAGCAAAAAUGUCAAGAAAUGGGUUGCAGUCCUGUAAUUUCAUUGGACUAAUUGUGAGUCCUUGAAGCUCGAUUUCCUCUUUACAAAACGAAGGGAUUUGUCAUGAUGUCCUAAUGGUGCCAAUGUGAUGUAAUUAAGUCUAUUCAAGAAAUAAUCCUUAUCUUGAUUAGGUAAAUAGGACUUGAUUAAUUCCACUCUGAUUAACCACUGCCUCUCAACCUCUUCUAGAGGCAUUUUACCCAUUCUACCCAGCAAUUCACCAUCUUCUCCCAGCAGAGAUGAAAAAUGCCCCAGUCUCCUUCAUGAUAGAGAUCAAGCCAAGAUCUAAAUGCUGUAAAACAUAAAACACUUCUGCAGAUGGUUGUGGUUUGCCUUGCAAGUGGAAUGGCAUUGGUGGAGACAAGAUGAGGAGGGGAGAAAAGGAGGGGGGUAUAAAGGAGAGUUUCCUUUAAAACAUCAAAAAGACUUUAUAGAUCUUUUCUGCCCUUUCAUGAAGACUUCAUCUGGCAGCCAGAUUGCCUUAAUGGUCUGCCUAGAAAGACCCACCCUGGCCUGACAUAGCCAGACACACACUUUCCAGCUUUGCUUUGCUUCUUUGAUGCUGUCACAUGUUCUUCAUUUUCUACAUUUCAUUCAUUCUUUGCCUUUAAGCUAUAAGGAUAAAAGUGCCUGGCAUUAAAAAAAAAAUCAGUGUACAUUUUUUAAAGGGGCAGGCAUUUCAUGCAGCUUUGAUUUCCUUCUGGGAGAAAAUCAUUACUUUUCUUUAAAGGAGAAAUUAGAUUUUUUUCUGCUUCCUCUCCCUGCUUUCCACCCUUCACCCCAACGCUCCCAUUUUUCAGCAGUAAGAAAUAACACUGGGUUUAGUGCAGGAACGGGCUAGAGAAAUGAUUGUCUCCUAGAAAGCACUUAUGCCACUACAAUGAAUAAAAAAGCCUAAGCAUUCAUUUACUGCUAAACAAUGACGAAAGACAAUUGGAAUGUUUUAAAGGACUGCACUAUAUUCAACAUCUGGUAAACAUUGGUUGAGAUAGCUGUUUUUAAAACCAGGUGGUGUAGAGGAGGAACGAUAACCAGUAGAGUAUGAUUUUUAUAACCUUUGAAAUGUAUAAGAAGGUUACAUAGAGAGGUCUGAAGCAUUGUGUAUGAAGGAGCAUGUUAACAGAAACAGAGUAAAAACUCAUACUGCAAAGGAAACACUAAUACGAGAGAAUUCCUGUGUGUGGAAUACUCAUGUAAGUCACAAAAUGUGGCCACAGGGACACACUCUAGAUUUUCUCUCCAAAUUAAUGAGCCCAAUUUUAAAAAUAUGGAGUGAAUCUAUAGAAGAAGGACAAGUAGUAAUAUUAAGGAAUAAGAGUUGGCUAGAUGAGUGUCUAAAUACACACAGUGGGGGAAAAUAGGAAGUGAUAAGAUUUCCAGAUAGGAUAAAUGACUACAUCCAUAACAAGUAUUUCGAACCCAAAUGAAAGAAUAAUGUCUGGAACUGAUCCUUAGAUUUGAAUGUGGAAUAAUGCUGGAGAUAUAUGUGUAAUACACAAAAACAAAACAAAACAUUCCCCCAAACAUACAUAUUUCUAGAGGAAGAGGAAAAAUGAAGAAAUCUAUCACCCACCUAUUAAACUCCAGGAAAGGAAAUGGUGCCAAAUGUGGAAACUGGAAAAAAAAAAAUUAAAGGGAAAAUCUGCAAAGUUAAAUAAACUACAAGAAACCCCAAACCAUUCCAAAUACCUCAUUGGAAAUUCAUGAUAAAUGGCUUUAGAGGCACAAACAGGCCAAGAGCUGAUGACAGUAAAACAAAACUCUCUGAAUAACCGGCUGCGUCAGAAUAUCUCCUGUUGGAAGGAGCAAGAAAAAGCGUCUUUGGGAGAGGGGAAAACAAUUAGAAGAACAGGAUGAUCGACCAACCAGAGCAAGCACCAAAUACUUAAAAAGUAAACAUAGGAGGAUCCCAUGAAAGGUACUCAAAAUAUAAUAGUAUAUAUAUAUAAUACCUUUCAAUAAGGUAGCCUAGUCCUUGCUUGGAGCCUCUUUGAAGAUCACCCAGACCCUGUACAUCAAGGGACAGAAUCUUUUAGGGAAUUUGAAACACCAUUUGAAGGUCAGUAUAUGAACAGUGGGCUUAGGAGAAAAAAGGAAUAUCAGGAAUUCCUGUCUUGGUGCAGGAAAUGAAUCUGCCUAGGAAUCAGGAGGUUGUGGAUUCGAACCCUGGCUUCGCUCAGUGUGUUAAGGAUCCAGCAUUGCCGUCAUCUGUAGGUUGCAGAUUUGGCUCAGAUCUGGUGUUGCUGUGGCUCUGGUGUAGGCCAGCAGCAACAGCUCUGGUUAGACCCCUAACCUGGGAACC
RNAcentral lists this long non-coding RNA (6756 nucleotides) under Sus scrofa (pig). RNAcentral's name for it is "lncRNA (ENSSSCG00065040163.1)". The record is from RNAcentral. Lineage: Eukaryota; Metazoa; Chordata; Mammalia; Artiodactyla; Suidae.